CCUACGGGAGGCAGCAGUGAGGAAUAUUGGUCAAUGGCCGUGAGGCUGAACCAGCCAAGUAGCGUGAGGGAAGACUGCCCUAUGGGUUGUAAACCUCUUUUAUGCGGGAAUAAAGGUGUCCACGUGUGGAUGUUUGCAGGUACCUCAUGAAUAAGGACCGGCUAAUUCCGUGCCAGCAGCCGCGGUAAUACGGAAGGUCCGGGCGUUAUCCGGAUUUAUUGGGUUUAAAGGGAGCGUAGGCGGGUCUUUAAGCUUGCCGUGAACGUUUGUGGCUCAACCAUGAGAGUGCGAUGCGUACUGGCGACCUUGAGUGCGCUGAAGGCAGGCGGAAUUCGUGGUGUAGCGGUGAAAUGCUUAGAUAUCACGAAGAACCCCGAUUGCGAAGGCAGCCUGCCGCAGCGUUACUGACGCUGAAGCUCGAAAGCGCGGGUAUCGAACAGGAUUAGAUACCCGAGUAGUC
This 460-nucleotide ribosomal RNA is filed under the name uncultured bacterium. Its description in RNAcentral is "partial 16S ribosomal RNA". It matches the Rfam family "Bacterial small subunit ribosomal RNA", at positions 338 to 795 of the family's 1533-position model. The record is from RNAcentral.